This 86-nucleotide transfer RNA is filed under the name Rhodospirillales bacterium. RNAcentral's name for it is "tRNA-Leu". It matches the Rfam family "tRNA". Rfam says of the family: Transfer RNA (tRNA) molecules are approximately 80 nucleotides in length. Their secondary structure includes four short double-helical elements and three loops (D, anti-codon, and T loops). The record is from RNAcentral. Lineage: Bacteria; Pseudomonadati; Pseudomonadota; Alphaproteobacteria; Rhodospirillales.
GCGGACGUGAUGGAACUGGUAGACAUACCGGACUUAAAAUCCGGAGGGCACCGCCCGUGCGGGUUCGACUCCCGCCGUCCGCACCA